RNAcentral lists this ribosomal RNA (116 nucleotides) under Paramormyrops kingsleyae. Lineage: Eukaryota; Metazoa; Chordata; Actinopteri; Osteoglossiformes; Mormyridae. The record is from RNAcentral.
UCCGUGGCUGUACCACCUGCAGAUCAGACUGGGCAAUCCGUGUGAAGUUAGGCAGGUUUGGGCCUGGCCAGUACUUGGAUGGGAGACCACCUGAGAAAGCUGGAUUGCUGCUGGAA